GAUGGACCACCUCUCACGGCCACAGACACUCGAGCUCGGUGCUCCCACACUUCACUCUUCCACGCAGAGCACCUGUGGCCCGUCCACAGCAUGCACUGUUCCUUUACGUGGACUUUAAUGAACUUGGAAGACUGAACCACAUCUGGGGUUGGGGACAAGAGAGUCAGGAGGGGGGCACACAGAGGGGCCUGAAGGCUAGUCCUGCCUGCUCUGGCCUAUCUCAGAACAGAGACUGAGGGGUCCUCAGUGUGGAGGUAGGGGUGUCUUUAGGUCCACAAGCCCUUGCCUUAGUUACAUGGGAGCUCUAUAGCCAACUCAAAGCCAACUUUCCAUGCGUGACACAUACACAUCUCUGAUCAGAAUGUGCCCCAAACUGCACACACAGAACCUGGCUGUACACUCACUCACGAUGCAUAUAUCCAUCAGCAUACACAGGCUGUGCACUGAGAAUAUAAGUGAGCUGGGGACAGAUAAACCUAUUUGCUCACACCCAGGAAGGGGGCACGUUUCCAGUUCAGCGGUAACUUAGUGGUCAGGGUGACACUGGGAGCAGAACUUGGUAGGGAAAGGGACAGAGCACCUACAUCUACCCACUCAGAUUAAUUUCCUCUGCCAAAACUGGGACUGAGGUUGGAGUAGAAGAGUCCCCAAGUCUCAGAAGUGAAUAUUAUACCUAAAAAAAUCUGCACCAAGAAAGACAGUCAACCCAACAGCCAUUCCAUUUGCCUGCCAAGAGGAACUCUAUCCUGCCUGUAUCAAACACGGAGCUAGUGUCUGACCACAUGAGUUCUCACAUGGAGAUCUUUUUAUGUGAAUACAAGAGAUGCAUACAGUUCUAGAAAUAAUAUGUACAGAUGUAUCGAUCCUGACACAUAGACAGAGAGAUAAAGAACAGGACACCCCUCUCCUGCUUCUGAGUAGCCAUAACAAGCUGACAUACUAGCUUUGCCUCCAGCCUGGAAGAGACUGGUGCCUUGGAAGAUUCGUGGUUAUGACAGUUUAUCAUUGGUUCUUGUAGAGAUAAUACAAGCCACCAACUGAAGGCAUUUGGGCGGGUUAGAGAGAGACUUUGGGGGUGAAGGGCUGUACCUCUAGGGCUCAGGUUCCAAAUGUGAGAGAGAGUGGUAGCUAGACAUGCCUGGCUAAUGUAUACAGACUAAAAAAAUGUAUACAAACUGGUCCCAGGUACACAGGUACACAAAGAUCCUGCAGAAGGCCAGUAGUGUGAUGUCCAAUCUCAGUGUUCAGAGGAGCAGUGGGGGAGAAGAUGAGGGCACAGGACAUUUCCUUGCAUACACAGCUCCAGGGGGGUUGUGGUUUAAUCAUCACAUGGGAGAGCUACAGAGAUAGGAAAGUAUACACAGAGAAAGAUAUCGCAUAUAAGGUAGCUGUCCCUCCCGUGUGGUGCCUGUGUGGGAAAGGCGUCCUUGGUUCCCUGACUGAACAGAAGGAAGGACAACGCAGAAGAAAGGACCCCAUCCCAGCUCUGCCCUGUGGGAGCUGGCUGACAGUCUCCGCAGCUGCUGUGACCUCCACUGGGCUCCUGUGCCUCGCAGCAUCCCCCUCUUCCACUGGAAGUUUGUCUUUCUGACUCUGUUCUGCCAUCCUCCCGCUUCUGCCUCCUCAGCUCUCUCACUAAACAUAGCCACAAAGAAACUGGCUGGAUGCAGGAGUGAAGGCCAAUAAAGAUGCUCAAGGUAGCUGUGGAGUCUUGAGUAACAAACCCUGUAUGAAACGUAGGGGAUUUUUUGUUGUUGUUUGUUUUUUUGUCUUUUUUUUUUUCUGCAUAGACAUCGAAAUAAAACCCUGAGGUUGUUUCCUUU
Long non-coding RNA from Mus musculus (house mouse), 1823 nucleotides. RefSeq annotates it as expressed sequence AW047730. The transcript is spliced from 2 exons. NCBI's taxonomy places the organism in Eukaryota, Metazoa, Chordata, Mammalia, Rodentia, Muridae. The record is from RefSeq and is a predicted model, not a curated record.